Molecule: transfer RNA, 66 nt
Filed under: Margarinotus merdarius
Lineage: Eukaryota; Metazoa; Arthropoda; Insecta; Coleoptera; Histeridae
Description: tRNA-Asn
Source: RNAcentral
UUAAUUGAAACCAAAAAGAGGUAUGUCAUUGUUAAUGAUAAAACUGAGUCUUUCGCUCCGAUUAAG